GCUGGGCGUGGUGGUGCACACUUGUAGUUCCAGCUGCUUGGAAGGCUGAGGCGGGUGGAUCUCUUGAGACCAGGAGGUCGAGGCUGCAGUGAGCAGUGAUCAUGCCACUGCACUUCAGCCUGAGCAACAGAGGGAGACCUUGUCUCUA
Pongo abelii (Sumatran orangutan) is the source of this 148-nucleotide unclassified non-coding RNA. It matches the Rfam family "Metazoan signal recognition particle RNA". Rfam says of the family: The signal recognition particle (SRP) is a universally conserved ribonucleoprotein. The record is from Ensembl. NCBI's taxonomy places the organism in Eukaryota, Metazoa, Chordata, Mammalia, Primates, Hominidae.